CACGUAUUUAGCCGGGGCUUCUUAGUCAAGUACCGUCAUUUUCUUCCUUGCUGAUAGAAGUUUACAUACCGAAAUACUUCUUCCUUCACGCGGCGUCGCUGCAUCAGGGUUUCCCCCAUUGUGCAAUAUUCCCUACUGCUGCCUCCCGUAGGAGUUUGGGCCGUGUCUCAGUCCCAAUGUGGCCGAUCACUCUCCCAAGUCGGCUACUGAUCGUCGCCUUGGUAGGCCGUUACCCCACCAACUAGCUAAUCAGACGCGGGUCCAUCUUGUACUACCGGAGUUUUUUACACUGUAUCAUGCGAUACUGUGCACUUAUGCGGUAUUAGCAGCUGUUUCCAACUGUUAUCCCCCUGUACAAGGCAGGUUACCCACGCGUUACUCACCCGUCCGCCACUCAGUCAUAUGAAUCUUUGUUCCGAAGAACUCCGUCUCAUAUGCUUCGUUCGACUUGCAUGUAUUAAGCACGCCGCCAGCGUUCAUCCUGACGCCGAGGAUACAAACUCU
This 504-nucleotide ribosomal RNA is filed under the name uncultured Lachnospiraceae bacterium. RNAcentral's name for it is "partial 16S ribosomal RNA". Lineage: Bacteria; Bacillati; Bacillota; Clostridia; Lachnospirales; Lachnospiraceae. The record is from RNAcentral.